RNAcentral lists this ribosomal RNA (1788 nucleotides) under Triticum aestivum (bread wheat). RNAcentral describes it as "partial small subunit ribosomal RNA". The record is from RNAcentral. Lineage: Eukaryota; Viridiplantae; Streptophyta; Magnoliopsida; Poales; Poaceae.
CCGGGAGAUCAAGUCAGAGCAUUUCGGUCGGUCCAAACGUAUUUCAGAGGGGCUGACCGGACGGAUCCUCCAAAGCCAAGGCGUGGAGUAGAGUAGUACUCCAUUCUUGAUAUCUUCUUCUUCGUCUUCCUCCCGUCCGGCGGCGGCCCGGUCCUCCGUUGGCGCUGGGGGAUCCUUUCUUCCGCAUCAGGUUACUUACAGCGUCGGAGUAAGAGAGAGAGAGAUUGCUUCAUGAUUUGGACAACUGUCAUAUUAUGCUACUGAAAGAAACUUAACUUCAUUUCCUUUUGUGUGCAUCUGUAUCAUCAUCAUCAUGGCCGGAAGCUCGGAUUAUCAGCCUUUUAACCUGGCAGCAAGAGUCGUAGGAAAGAGGCGACGACUCAUACCUGCCAAGUUGAAGUCGGCGAUACCCGCCAUUGCUCUGCUUCUGUCGGCGGUGGCCAUUGUUGGUGCCAUAACCCAGUACCACCGGAGCAUCACCUACUUCCUGCGGCCGCUGUGGGACACGCCGCCCAAGCCCUUCACCGUCAUCCCGCACUACUACGCCCCCAACACCUCCAUGGCCGAGCUGUGCGCGCUCCACGGCUGGCGCGCCCGCGCCUCCCCUCGCCGCGUCUUCGACGCCGUCCUCUUCAACAACGAGCUGGACAUCCUGGAGAUCCGGUACCGCGAGCUGCUCCCCUACGUCCACAAGCUGGUCAUCCUGGAGGCCAACGCCACCUUCACCGGCAUCCCCAAGCCGCUCUCCUUCGCCGAGAACCUGGAGCGCUUCGCGUUCGCGAGGUCCAAGAUCGUCUACGACAGGCUCCCCAUCGCCACACCGGGGUCAUCGCCAGGUCGCCGCCGGGAAGAGCCGUUCGACCUGGAAGCCAGGCACCGGCGCGCGCUGAACGCGCUGCUGCGGCGGUCGGGCGUCGCGGGCGGGGACGUGGUGAUCAUGGCGGACGCGGACGAGAUCCCGAGCCCGGAGACGGUGCAGCUGCUGCGGUGGUGCGACGGGGUGCCGCCGGUGAUGCACCUGCAGCUGGAGAACUACGUCUACUCCUUCGAGUUCCCCGUGGACCGCGGCAGCUGGAGGGCGACGGCGCACCUCUUCAGCGAGCGGCGCACGGCGUACCAGCACUCCCGGCAGAGCGACCUGAUGCUAGCGGACGCCGGGUGGCACUGCAGCUUCUGCUUCAGGGAGAUCGCCGAGUUUGCGUUCAAGAUGAAGGCGUACAGCCACGCGGACCGGGUGAGGCGGCAGAGCUUCCUCGACCCGGAGAGGAUCCAGCGGGUCGUAUGUGCCGCCGACGACCUGUUCGACAUGCUCCCCGAGGAGUACACCUUCAGGGAUCUCUUCACGAAGAUGGGGCCAAUACCCAGGUCGGCGUCGGCCAUGCACCUGCCUUCCUAUUUGAUCAAGAACGCACACAGAUUCAGGUUCUUGCUUCCUGGUGGAUGCUUGAGAUCAGGUUAAAACAAUCACUGUUUUGUUUGUGAGUUUUUGUCACCCGGCAAACCUUACUCACUGAUAUGCUGUUGUUUCUAAAUGUGCAAAGUGUAUCUCGUUUGAUGUGAAACAGUAUUAAUCUAGACAUGAUAUACAGUUUACAUUUUUGUUUAGUUUUUUUUAGGGGAUACAUUUUUGUUUAGUUUGAGGAACUGAAUAGGUAUGUCCCAAAUGGGUAAGGUUGCAGUCUAUUCUAUCAAUGAUAAAUGGGGCAACUAUUUGUAAGUCGCCUAAUUUUUUUUUGCCAUAAGUCAAUUUUUUGGCCAUUGAAAAAAGAAUCAUUUUUUCGGCGUCGG